GAUCCUGCCAGUAGUCAUAUGCUCGUUUCAAAGAUUAAGCCAUGCAUGUCUGAGUACAGCCUUCCUUAGUGUGAAACCGCAAACUGCUCCAUAAACAAGUCUUAACACUACUUGGUGACGGAUUCGAAUAUUCGGAUAACUGUGGCAAUUCCAGAGCUAAUACGUGCAAUUAAGUUCUGACGCCUUGCUUCAUCGAAGCUAGGCGAAAGGGCGCAAUUAUUAGGUCCGCAAACCGAGAACCUGUUCAUGCGUUAUUGCCUCUUGCAGGCUUAGCCUUGAGCGGUACUUUUUUGGGAUGUGGUGACUCCGGAUAACAUUGCCAAGCGAGUCGGUCAUUAUGCCGUCGCAAUACCAAUUGUGAGACUUACUUAUCAGGCUAUGGAUUGUAGGGUAAGGGCCUACGAUGGCUGUCACGGGUGACGGGGAAUCAGGGUUCGAUUCCGGAGAGUUUGCCUGAGAGAUGGCUGACACAUCUAAGGAAGGCAGCAGGCGCGCAAAUUACCCACUCCCGGCUUGGGGAGGUAGUAACGAGAAAUAACGAUGCAAGACUCUUCCGAGGCCUUGCAAUCGGAAUGAGUUUAGCAUAAAUCCUUAAACAAGGAUCUAUUAGAGGGCAAGUCUGGUGCCAGCAGCCGCG
RNAcentral lists this ribosomal RNA (637 nucleotides) under Paracerceis cordata. Its description in RNAcentral is "bacterial SSU rRNA". It matches the Rfam family "Eukaryotic small subunit ribosomal RNA", at positions 10 to 578 of the family's 1831-position model. Lineage: Eukaryota; Metazoa; Arthropoda; Malacostraca; Isopoda; Sphaeromatidae. The record is from RNAcentral.